RNAcentral lists this unclassified non-coding RNA (4531 nucleotides) under Actinia tenebrosa (Australian red waratah sea anemone). Its description in RNAcentral is "uncharacterized LOC116304162, transcript variant X3". The record is from RNAcentral. Lineage: Eukaryota; Metazoa; Cnidaria; Anthozoa; Actiniaria; Actiniidae.
UAACGCCCGUGAAAGUGUUGAGGAUUGUCGAGACGAAAACCAAUGGCUGCGGCUUUGUUUUGGCGGGGGUUUGUUGGCAGAACACGUCAAUGAGUGACUUAUUGUGGGAAAGGUCUAGCAUUAGUAAUUUCACCAAACUAUCAUGGCCUUAUUCAAGUCUAAUGCUGUCUCAAUAUUUCUUGUUUUUUAUGGAUUUUCAUGCAAUUUUUUGCCUUCAACUAGUAACAAUUUGGAAGUUUGUAACUUGUGUAGAUGUUACAAUCUUUUUGGUCUCGCAGUGGUUAACUGUUCGUCUAGUGGGGUACCGAAGAUUAUUCCUGAUGAAGCUAAAUACUUAGACCUUUCAAAUAAUGGAAUCUCGAGUCUUAGACAGCAUCAUAUAGAAGCAUUCAAGAAUGUAGAAAUAAUAGAUUUAACCAACAAUCCUCUAAACUGUGAUUGUCAUCUCGCGCUGUCAAUCAAAGAGCUGACGUCAGCAUCGAGUGUCGUCAAAGGAAAGUGCUCACGCCCCACGGACCUCGCAGGAGUCAAUAUCGAUCAUAUCUACCUCAAGAUUACGCCAUGCAAUUUUUCAGGUUCAACCCAUGUUAACGUCAUUAGUCAACGAGUCAGAAGAUCUUCAGAACUAAAACAGUGCAUUCCAGGAACACCAGAUUGCGCCUAUGUCGUAUGUGGAGGGUGGUUCCUAUGGUUACCUACCACGACGCACUGGGGCUGCUGUAACGGCGUCAUCCACAACCUUACGUCAUCGUACUGUGAAGCAAACAUGGGAGUGAGAGUGAAGCAAUGCACCAAGAAUGACUUCCGCUGCAACAACCAACAUUGCUUACCAAGAUAUUGGGUCUGCAACGACUACAACGACUGCCAAGACGGAAGCGACCAAGUAGGGUGUCUAAAAUGUGGAAAUUCUACGCUGCACUUUCAAUGCAAAAACGGCAAUUGCAUCGACAAGAAUCGCGUGUGUGACACGUAUAACGACUGUGGAGAUGGAUCGGAUGAGAUGUUUUGUAGGUUCUCUUUUAUGAUGGGUUGGUGUGGGUCGAUGGAGUAUAGGUGUCCUAACGAGAGGUGUGUGAGUGGAGCGAAGCUGUGUGAUGGGAGAAAUGAUUGUGGCGACGAUUCUGAUGAACAAGGAUGUUUCAAAGAUUCAAGUAAAAAGUGCCCCGAUGGCUGGACCUUCCUCAACCAACGCUGCUACAAAAUCGAAUACCAACUCUUCCCAUGGUCGACGGCACAGGCCACGUGCGCAUCCAACGGAGGUCACCUGACCAAAAUUACAUCACAAGAAGAAGAGGACACACUCAAGAAUCUUAUCACAUCCCAACAUAGUGGAUCUUUAUCCUUCUGGAUCGGUCUGUCCAGGGGCGCGUCGCAGGGCUUUCAGUGGACAGAUUCUGUGGCAGUUGGAAAGUACACGUCCUGGGAGUAUGGAGAGCCCAGUGUCGGAAAAAACUGCGUUAGUUUGAUAAACAAUACCAUGAAAUGGCGCGCUGAGAACUGUGAUUUGGGUAUCCCAUUUAUUUGUACGAGAGAUUCACUGUGUAAGCACAAUUGUCAGAACAAAGGCACCUGUCAAUCAUCAAGAUGUGUCUGUGCAGCUGAUUGGUCAGGAGAGGACUGCUCUUUCAAAUUUCCUAACAUCACAUCCCUAGAUGAUAUAGACAUAAAAGUCCUUUAUAAUUCGAAUAUUUCUCUGAGCUGUCAAUCAACUGGAGUGCCACGCCCCAACGUCGAGUGGUUGGUAAAUGAACAAGCUGUUGCUGGGCAACGGGAUAUUAAAGUUUUUAACGAGCCUUUCAUCACGAACAUAACGAUUCACGUGAAAAGCAACACAGAAAUGAGGUGUACGUCAAAGAAUCGAGGAGGGCUUGACAGCGUUAGGAUAAGAGUCACCGUGGAGGACGAUGAUGUAGUGAAUGUCAAGGCCAUAAUUCGUCUAUGGAACAUGAAGUACGAUAAAUCCUUAGAGAACCCUCUGUCGGGAGAGUAUCAGGCUCUGGCGAGCAGGUUGACUUAUGCGAUAUCCAGUCUGUAUCAAAAUAAGUUAGGGUACAAGGGACUUGGCAUCUUAUCAUUCAGACCAGGCUCUUUAACAUGUGAAGUGCUCGUUCGGUUCAGCAAAAAUAGCGAAGAAGAACUGACGAGAAUAUUAAAAGAUGCAAUAAACUCAGGAAUGAUAGCGAACUUGACUGUUGACUCCAAGUAUCUGGCUCUGGAAAAGAAAAAUAAAGCUUGUCCGCCUGAUUUCUUUAACGUAACGUGGUUUGCUUCAUUACCAUCGAAUAUUCGUGUACAGCGGUGUCCUCAUGGGUCUAUUGGAACAGCAAGAAGAAGGUGUAGCGAGAACGGCCAAUGGGAACACCCUGACUACACACAGUGUGUCACCCAAGAUAUAUUGGACCUAAAGCACAGGAUGGACACAGCGCUGAACAAAACCACUCCUUCACCGAGCGAGAUACAAUCCAUACUGGAUGAUUUAGUCCGGAAGUCUCACCGUGAGAAAGGCGACGCUAAAAUAGCGGGUGAUAUCAAAACCUGUACUCAGAUACUCAAAGAGGUCGUUGAUUAUAAUACCAAGCACACGGGUGAUACGGAGACAAAUGUGGAUAAUAUACGGAACUUCUUGUCUUCAGCAAGUAACCUCCUUGAUUACGAAAAUAAACAAGAAUUGGUGAUUUUACAAGAAUCUGACAACAUUACGUCCCUUUUGAUCUACGUGCUGGAAGGAUUUGGUCUACAAGCAGCUGGAGGACUAGAAACUAGUGCAAGUCGCACGAAGCAAUACGUUGCUGAUAACUUAGUUAUGGGUAUAACACUGGUGUCGAUGGCGUCACCUGAUGACGUCACAUUCCCCAAUUACACCGAUCAGCAUAUGACUUCACGGUCUGAGUGGAACUCGAUGCUAGAAAAAAACUACAUAGUUCUACCCAAGUCUACAUUCGACAGCAAUAACAAAAUAAAGAACAAAGUGAGCAGAGUUUCAAGUUUUCUUUACAGAACCCUAUCAACAUUUCUUAACAUUCCUAGUGCAUAUAGUAAGGUUGGUGAUGAGUUCUUACUGAGUUCCAACGUAAUAUCUGCUUCUAUUAAACCUUCUGUGUCGCUGAGGGAUCCCGUCAAGACUAUCUACGGUAAAGUUCAGGAUCCAGACAAGCCUCUCGCCUGUGUCUUUUGGGAUUUCAGUCUAAAUUCUAAAAAAGGCGCUUGGUCACGUGAUGGUUGUAGUCUGUCGUCACGUGACGGCAGCAAAAUCACGUGUGAAUGUAAUCACCUGACUAACUUUGCGGUACUGAUGGAUAUAUCUAAUGUUAAGGGACACGAGUUUCCUCUGCGCAUUAUUUCGUCAGUUGGUUGUGCGGUUUCUCUUCUCGGUCUUGUCAUAACUCUGUUCGUCCAUUUUAUUUUCUGGAGGAACUUAAAGUCAGAGAAGACGAUUAUUCACGUGAACCUAUGCGUUGCUCUUUUGACUGCCAACAUCAUUCUCCUGGCGGGUUUGGAGAGUACCAAGUAUAAGUCAUUAUGCACAGCUGUAGCAGUCCUGUUACAUUACUUCUUCCUAUGCGCCCUGGCCUGGAUGCUUGUGGAGGGAAUACAAAUAUACGUUGCCAUAGUGAUGGUUUUCCAAUUCGAGAGGAAACGAAAAUAUUUCUACCUGAUUGGUUGGGGUACGCCGUUGAUGAUCGUCGGGAUUUCAAUGGCUGUGACACAGAUGAAAGGAUAUGGAGGAGAAAAUGCUUGUUGGCUGUCCAGUGAUGGUGGUUUGAUUUUCGCCUUCAUUGGACCCGUCCUCGCAGUUGUACUGGUCAAUAUCAUAAUAUUUAUUCUUGUUAUGCGCGCCAUGAUGACAACACAUAAAAUGAUAUCAGCGGAUGAAAUCCAGAAAGCCAGAGUCGCUGGAAAAUGCUGUGCUGUUCUUCUGCCUUUACUUGGUCUGACAUGGUUAUUUGGUGUCCUUGCUAUUGAUAGCAGCACCGUUGUCUUCUUAUAUCUGUUCGCCAUCUUUAAUUCUCUACAGGGUUUCUUCAUAUUUAUCUUCCAUUGCCUCCUCGACCUCCAGGUCCAAACCGCUGUUAAGAGCUGGUCAGUCAAGAGAGAACGAACAGAAUCGAACCUAGGCCUGCGCGCACUCUCGUCUUCAUCCAAUCCAAGCAACAGGCUGGACACCAGGACGUCAAGUGCUGCAUCUACGUUGCCAACAGACAAAAGACGCAAAAAUAAAAGCGAAAAGGACAACUUCGACACCGUAGUCGUAUGAAGAGCCAUUGCUAAGAAAUUGGGAAUUUUCUAAAUCAUGGAUUGAGGAUUUGCCAUCACUUCGCAAGAAACUAAAAGCUUAAAAUUGGCUUGAAAACUCUCUCUCUGCCGACAAGGUUUUCAUUCCAUUCCAACGAGAGAUUGUGACACUCUUCAAUGUGCUGGUCGCAUGUUUGAUUGGAUUUUCAGGUAAAUAUUGAAGCCAAAUAAUAUAAUCGUUCUUUCUUCUACCGCUGGUGUCAUCCAUCCCAUCCCAUUCAUCCUUCCAUUUACAAGU